RNAcentral lists this ribosomal RNA (292 nucleotides) under uncultured bacterium. RNAcentral's name for it is "partial 16S ribosomal RNA". It matches the Rfam family "Bacterial small subunit ribosomal RNA", at positions 505 to 796 of the family's 1533-position model. The record is from RNAcentral.
GUGUCAGCAGCCGCGGUAAUACAGAGGGUGCGAGCGUUAAUCGGAAUUACUGGGCGUAAAGGGUGCGUAGGUGGUUAUGUAAGUUAGAUGUGAAAUACCCGGGCUUAACCUGGGGGCUGCGUCUGAUACUGCAUGGCUAGAGUCCUGUAGAGGAAAGUGGAAUUUCCGGUGUAGCAGUGAAAUGCGUAGAUAUCGGAAGGAACAUCAGUGGCGAAGGCGACUUUCUGGACAGAGACUGACACUGAGGCACGAAAGCGUGGGGAGCAAACAGGAUUAGAUACCCUGGUAGUCC